This 253-nucleotide ribosomal RNA is filed under the name uncultured bacterium. RNAcentral describes it as "partial 16S ribosomal RNA". It matches the Rfam family "Bacterial small subunit ribosomal RNA", at positions 524 to 776 of the family's 1533-position model. The record is from RNAcentral.
GACGAACCGUGCAAACGUUAUUCGGAAUCACUGGGCAUAAAGGGCGCGUAGGCGGCUUUCUAAGUCAGGGGUGAAAUCCGGCAGCUCAACUGUCGCAGUGCCUUUGAUACUGGAGAGCUCGAGGGAGGUAGGGGUCUGUGGAACUUCCGGUGGAGCGGUGAAAUGCGUUGAUAUCGGAAGGAACGCCGGUGGCGAAAGCGACGGACUGGAUCUCCUCUGACGCUGAGGCGCGAAAGCCAGGGGAGCAAACGGG